RNAcentral lists this ribosomal RNA (497 nucleotides) under uncultured bacterium. RNAcentral describes it as "partial 16S ribosomal RNA". It matches the Rfam family "Bacterial small subunit ribosomal RNA", at positions 28 to 507 of the family's 1533-position model. The record is from RNAcentral.
GAUGAACGCUGGCGGCGUGCCUAAUACAUGCAAGUCGAGCGAACAGACGAGGAGCUUGCUCCUCUGACGUUAGCGGCGGACGGGUGAGUAACACGUGGAUAACCUACCUAUAAGACUGGGAUAACUUCGGGAAACCGGAGCUAAUACCGGAUAAUAUAUUGAACCGCAUGGUUCAAUAGUGAAAGACGGUUUUGCUGUCUCUUAUAGAUGGAUCCGCGCCGCAUUAGCUAGUUGGUAAGGUAACGGCUUACCAAGGCAACGAUGCGUAGCCGACCUGAGAGGGUGGUCGGCGACACGGGAGCUGAGACAGGGUCCAGACUCCUGCGGGAGGCAGCAGUAGGGAAUCUUACGCAAUGGGCGAGAGCUUGACGGAGCAACGCCGCGUGAGUGAUGAAGGUCUUCGGAUCGUAAAGCUCUGUUAUUAGGGAAGAACAAAUGUGUAAGUAACUGUGCACGUAUUGACGGUACCGAGUAAGAAAGCAACGGCUAACUACGUG